UAAAAGGAAGUAGAUUCCUUCAAAUAGUUCCUCAUUCAUAGUUUCCUUAAAUUAGUGCUCUCCUCCGUUGAAUGGUACUAAGUGAACUGCGUCAUUGAUGAGCUUUAAGAGAUGGGAGAGAAUUGGCCAAAGUUCUAUGCCCAGCCCAUGUUUACACAUGAUGUACUAUUGUACUAUAACAUAUUUCAAAACUUACUUUUUCCCAUUGAUACAUCAAUAUGUUCUCUCCCUAGUGAAAAACAAAACCAAUAUAUUUUUAGGCAUUAAAAAGCCAUUUAGUUAUAUAAAUGUCUAAAAUAGAGAAUAAUAAUGUUUGAACCAAGGGGGUGUAAACCAAUAAAAAAUUAAAUCACUAAUAGAGAAAAAACCUGUAUUAAACCAUAAUUACUCAAGGUAAAUAUGCUGAAGUUAAGAGGUGAUAGGUAGGUAGGUAGGUAGGUAGGUAGGUAGGUAGAUAGAUAGAUAGAUACAAUGGACUAUAUGGCAAUAGUCAUAAAUCUAUAUGUAUCGACGUACGACUGCAUCAUGAGUCCUCAAGAUACAACGGUUCCUAAAUCUCAACCACCUUGCCAUCUUGAGUGCUACUCGAUCAUCCAGUCUCCUGCAACAUAUAUAUUUGACGAAAAACUUGGUAUAUGUAUGCAAAUUGCAAAUACAAUGCAUCAAAAUAGGUAGAUGCUAACAAUAAUACACACGUCACAUGCUAUUCCAUGAUCCUUUUUCCUACAAUAUAAAUUUGAUGAAGUCAAGAAUUUAGAAUAGAAAUAUACCGUUCAUCAAUAAUACAAAGAUGCUGGCAAAAUAUAUACUGUGAUAACUAAUGAAGUAUAUAUGUGGAAAGGUCCCGCCCAUGUCACCUGAUAAAGCCCGCUUUACCAUUGGAUACAGAGUUCACAUUCAUGCAUGUAGAUAAGAGCCUGCAACAUAUUUGUCCUCUAAUAUGUGAACGCAUGCAUGUAAAAUAUAUAGGAAAACGAAUUCAAUGUAAAAAUAAUCAUGCAUAUGCACAUCAUGGAGAUCUUAUCAUGAUGCAACAAAUCAAAUUGUAAGUUAGGCACUGGGGAAAUUACUCUUGGUAAGGAACAAUAGCAGGCAAUUUAUUUUCCCUUUUUCAUAAGCUGAUGGUUGCCCCUCUAGAUCCACCAAGUGAUGUGCUGGAGAGGAUCAUAUCUACUGAGGAGCUUUUUGGGUAUCAGCUACAACCUUUUGGAACAGCAUCUAUAGAAGAGUUAAAUAAGAUAUAAGAAACUUCAUACGUGUAUGGUGUAUAAAAUUACAAAUAGCAGGAACUUCCUUCUAACUUCGAUAGAAAUUGAUGUAUAGUUAACUGUUUCGUAGUGGGCUAUUGCAUUUAGAAACAUGGUGUGCAUAAAAGGGUAGCAUAAUAGAAGUGAACAUUAAUUACGUUAAGAAUACUACAAAAUAAUAUUUUACAGCAAAAGGAGAUUAGACAGAGGCUUCAACUUUGAUUGAUAUUAGGACUGUUGCCUCAUAAAGCACCAUUCAGCCAUGAAAAAACGACAUCCCUCCUUUCAUGAGAGACUUGCACUAAGAAUAUUCCAAACAGACCUCUGACUUCACUAAAUACACUUAUUGGUUUAAUUCUUUAAAUUUUAGUCUUCGUAGUAUUUAUAAAAAGUAAAUUAAUAAAGCAGAGAAUUUGAAGAUUGACACUUAAAACCUAAGAUAUUCGUAGGGAUAACAUAACUAACUCAGUUCUGAAAAAAGCUUGGAUUCACUCUUAUUUGUGUGCUGGCUCGCUUGGGGGAAGGAAUGUUUUUUUGCAAUAGAAAAAUAGUUGUACAUGCUUCACAUUUAUGAGAAAAAGAAUAGUCCGUGCAAUUUAUUUCUGUUAAUUCGCAUGCAUAAACUGUAAGACCGUACUAAACAUAUAAUGAAAUCCUAAAACUUUCCGCAUCAAAUGACUAAUAAUCAUACAUAGACUGGAAAUUAGAUCCAUUUUACUCCAUGGUCCUCAGAUAACGAAGCAUCAGGCAAGGCCAGUAGAUCACGAUGUGUUGUUUCUACUAUCUCAAAUCUCACAAAUUUAGAGGAAUAUGCAGCAUACCAUGAAGUAACUAUUACCAAACAUCAGCUAUUUGUCGUCUCCAUGAUAGCGAAUAAUGUACGCACAUCAGGGACAACUUUCAACAUGAUGGGAAAACACAAAAUUAGUCCAGCCCAAUAACAUCAACAUCCAGUGCACAUGCAACAAAUCUAGCUUGAUGAAGUUUUGCUUGUAAAAUCUAUGUUGUGUCCAGGAUAUCAGAGAUAAUAUUAAUAUGAUUAAAUGCUAACUGCAGCAUGGAACUUAAGAUACACACUUCCUUACCUUCAGAGUGGUCGCAUGAGUAGUAGGCAAUGAAUGUCCAUGGUGUGAAUAGAUGCGCCAUCGGCCCAUCGCAACUCUUUCCCUCGGGAUCCUUAAUACUCUCAUGGAUGGUGCCAUGGCGGCAC
Molecule: long non-coding RNA, 2457 nt
Filed under: Triticum aestivum (bread wheat)
Lineage: Eukaryota; Viridiplantae; Streptophyta; Magnoliopsida; Poales; Poaceae
Description: long non-coding RNA (TAES_LNC014675)
Source: RNAcentral